UGGUUCUGGCAUCGAUGAAGAACGCAGCGAAAUGCGAUAAGUAAUGUGAAUUGCAGAAUUCAGUGAAUCAUCGAGUUUUUGAACGCAUAUUGCGCCCUCUGGUAUUCCGGAGGGCAUACCCGUUCGAGCGUCAUUUUCUCCUUCAAGCAUGGCUUGGCUAUGGGUGCCGCGUUCCUCUCGCGCGCCUCAAAGUUUACCGGCCGAGCGAUCUAUCCCGGAGCGUUGUGGCAACCUGUCUCGCUCUCGGCGGUGGCGCUGCGGUCGUGAAACCCUUCAAAGUUGACCUCGGAUCGGGUAGGGAUACCCGCUGA
This 311-nucleotide unclassified non-coding RNA is filed under the name uncultured fungus. RNAcentral's name for it is "partial contains 5.8S ribosomal RNA and internal transcribed spacer 2". The stretch from base 1 to 133 matches the Rfam family "5.8S ribosomal RNA", at positions 22 to 154 of the family's 154-position model. Lineage: Eukaryota; Fungi. The record is from RNAcentral.